GUCUAUGCAAUCCCUUCAUCAAUAUGCUUCUUGGCAUUCAGUCUUGAUUGUUUGAUUCAUCAUCAUUGAUUCGUCAACCAUCUUGAUCGUUUGCUAAGGCAUCUUCAUUGUUUGUCAUAUGUCAUACACUAAUAUAGUUGUUUGACAGUUGACUUCGUUGUUUGUCAUUCAUCAAAAAAUGCACUUGGAAAUCAUGCUAAUACAACCAAAGAACACAUAUCAAU
Molecule: long non-coding RNA, 224 nt
Filed under: Nicotiana benthamiana
Lineage: Eukaryota; Viridiplantae; Streptophyta; Magnoliopsida; Solanales; Solanaceae
Description: long non-coding RNA (NBEN_LNC038925)
Source: RNAcentral